AAAGUACUCCCUCCGUUGGAAUUACUUGUCUCGAAAAUGAAUGUAUCUAGAUGAAUUUUAGUUCUAGAUACAUCUGUUUCCGAGACAAGUAAUUCCGAACGGAGGGAGUAGUAU
Molecule: non-coding RNA, 114 nt
Organism: Triticum urartu
Lineage: Eukaryota; Viridiplantae; Streptophyta; Magnoliopsida; Poales; Poaceae
Source: Rfam